Molecule: ribosomal RNA, 576 nt
Filed under: uncultured bacterium
Lineage: Bacteria
Description: bacterial SSU rRNA
Rfam family: Bacterial small subunit ribosomal RNA
Source: RNAcentral
GCUGGCGGCGUGCCUAACACAUGCAAGUCGAACGAGAAAGUGGAGCAAUCCAUGAGUAAAGUGGCGACCGGGUGAGUAACACGUGACUAACCUACCUUCGAGUGGGGGAUAACCUCGGGAAACCGGGGCUAAUACCGCAUAAUGCCUUCGGGUUAAAGGAGCAAUUCGCUUGAAGAGGGGGUCGCGGCUGAUUAGCUAGUUGGCGGGGUAACGGCCCACCAAGGCGAUGAUCGGUAGCCGGCCUGAGAGGGCGCACGGCCACACUGGAACUGAAACACGGUCCAGACUCCUACGGGAGGCAGCAGUGGGGAAUUUUGCGCAAUGGGGGAAACCCUGACGCAGCAACGCCGCGUGGAGGAUGAAGUCCUUUGGGACGUAAACUCCUUUCGACCGGGACGAUAAUGACGGUACCGGUGGAAGAAGCCCCGGCUAACUUCGUGCCAGCAGCCGCGGUAAUACGAGGGGGGCGAGCGUUGUUCGGAAUUAUUGGGCGUAAAGGGCGCGUAGGCGGUGCGGUAAGUCACCUGUGAAACCUCUGGGCUUAACCCAGAGCCUGCAGGCGAAACUGCCGUGCUG